RNAcentral lists this long non-coding RNA (2424 nucleotides) under Lynx pardinus (Iberian lynx). Lineage: Eukaryota; Metazoa; Chordata; Mammalia; Carnivora; Felidae. The record is from RNAcentral.
AUCAGAAACAAUGUGUGGAAGACUGAAUAAUUAGGCAUUAGCUCAGAUCACUCUCUCUCCCAUUACUGAGGUGCAUCAUGACUGAUCUAAGAAACAGAAGAGCACAGAUUUAAAGGAGGCAGUAAAGACCAAGACCGUUGUAGAUGAGGAGAUAAUUGCAUACUUACAGGAUUAACACUGUCUGGAUUGCAACAACCCGCUGAAUACGUUCAAGAGAAAGCUACAGUACAUAUUUCAGAUCGGGGACUGGCAACAAAUAUCUGUAGACUACCUUCUGAAAAAUAAGCAUUUUCACGUGUAUCAUGGACUAUCUCUAAUGCCGGCAUCACAGCCAGGUCAAGCUGCAUGUUUCUAAUUUUGGCCCUACCCAUAACCUCCUCGGAGAGUUCUCGCCUGGCUCUCCCGUCUAAACAGCAUUCUCCUUACCCGCCAAUUAUUACCGAGCCAAGUGCGUUUCCCAUGAGCAUGUGUUACCAUUUGUAUUUACAUUUUUUCUUUCCUUCUUAUGGUUUGUCUUCUCCGUCAGGCUAGAAGCUCCCCCACGGCAAGGCACCAUGUCUAGGACACCAAAGGCCCUUUAUAAAUAAUUCUUGGGGUGCCUGGGUGGCUCAGGCGGUUAAGCGUCUGACUCUUGAUUUUGGCUCAGGUCAUGAUCUCACAGAUGUGAGAUCAAGCCCCGCAUCGGGCACUGCACUGAGUUGGGAGCCUGCUUAAGAUUUUCUCUCCCUCUCUCUGUACCUCCCCCACUUUCUCCCUCUCCCUCUCUCUCUCUCUCUCUCUCAAAACAACUAAUUUUUAAGUGAGUAAAUGGUGAACAGCAAGGGUGGCACAAAUAGCCAACAGAAGGUAGAGGAGGAUGAAUUCCCUGCACCACCACAUUUAUGGGGGGGUGGACCCUACAUGGCCUCUCUUGUAGUCAAAACACACUUUUCAGUCCUGGAUCCCUCGCAGUGUAUUCAAGGAUGCUGGCUUUGUGUGAGGCUGUAAAUAUCUCUGAUGAGAAGGGCUCACGUCUGCGUGUGUUUGCCUUGUUUUGCACAGCAUUCGGCACCGUCCCAAGCACAGAUGGGCUCUGCAUAAAUAUUAGUGAAGGAUGAUGACAUUGAAGCUUAUUUAAUACUUCUGCAUAGGGUGGAGACGGGUCUCGGGCCACAAAUAUACUUUGAAUGUGCUCUACUUCUCGAAUCAUUGGAACCAAAACGAUUUCAGCAACAGAGAGUCAUCUGCGGCUACAAAUCAGACACAUUCAGAAUGACAACGCCCCAAAAGAAUGCCAUUUUCAAGGCUGAGACUGUAUUAUUCCGGGGUCAAUGGAAUCCUUGUUUUAGUGACACUGGAAGAGUAGAAAUUAAAGACAUUGAAACUCUUCCCUCAGGGAACAACAAUUAUCUGUGAACAAUGAAAUCUGGCCUGAAUAAUUCAUCAGUUUCGAGGGUCCAGGCCUUCCCCUUAUUCUGGAAUGCCAAGAGUUUAGGCAAGUACAUCAUUUAAUAGGUCUCAGCUACUCAGUUGUCAUUCUUCCUGGUCCUGGCACUUAUGGGCACAUUCCAAUGAUUUUAUUCAUUUAAAAAAAAAAAACACAACUAUAUGGCAAACCUUGCCCAAGACAAAAAUUUGAAACUGUAUUUAUUUCACCUAAGAAGAAAGGAGCUCAUUAAGUAUCCAUCAUGGGAAUCCACCUGGGAACUGCACAGCAGAUCAAAUACCCAAAACAAAUCACCACGUCAGAGCCCCACAGAAUUCUGGAUCCCAACCAGCAAGCAUGAAUAAUCCUUUUAAAUGGUCACUUACAUAUCAGAACAGGCCCUUUGUGAAAUGUCUAAGCAAGGCCUCUGCUUUCUGACUGAAACAGAGUUUUAUGGGGAUGGAGGGGAGCAAGUGAAAUCAAGAACCACCGGGAUAUAUCCGGGAGAAAAGAGGGCCCAUGGUUUUUGUUGCUAGAAUAAAACCUGCCUCCCCUGGCCAGGGUUUGGGAAGUUGCUGGCUAUCCCCCAGGAGAGUUGGGCAAUAUUCUGAACUAGUUUCUCAGGGACCAUCUUGAUCCAGGAGUAGUUACUGGGCAGAUGCAAUCGCAAACCAGAAGACCUAGUUUCAAAUCCUGGGUCGCUUUCUGAUUAGCUGUAUAACCGGGUACAAGUCACUUCACCUCUCUGAUACUUGGUUCACCAUCUUUAAGAUGGCGAGACUAAUGCCUACCCAAUUACCCACUAAAUUUGUGCAAAGAUCAAGUGAAAUCAAAUGUACGGAAGUUCUUUCUAAAUUAUAAGAUUAUGUAUAAGUGGAAGGUGAUAUUAUCAAAUACACUCCCAUAGUAUUAAGUAAUCUACAUAGCAAUCAGGAUCCUCUAAUUACACGCUGAGCCCUCAGUGUUUAAAGAUGGUUCCAUUUUGCCUUGUUCUCUACAGUUUUAUUGAAUCCUUUUUU